This 264-nucleotide ribosomal RNA is filed under the name uncultured bacterium. RNAcentral describes it as "partial 16S ribosomal RNA". It matches the Rfam family "Bacterial small subunit ribosomal RNA", at positions 793 to 1055 of the family's 1533-position model. The record is from RNAcentral.
GUCCACGCCCUAAACGAUGUCUACUAGUUGUCGGGUCUUAAUUGACUUGGUAACGCAGCUAACGCGUGAAGUAGACCGCCUGGGGAGUACGGUCGCAAGAUUAAAACUCAAAGGAAUUGACGGGGACCCCGCACAAGCGGUGGAUGAUGUGGAUUAAUUCGAUGCAACGCGAAAACCUUACCUACCCUUGACAUGUACGGAGUGCUAAAGAGAUUUGGCAGUGCUCGAAAGAGAACCGUAACACAGGUGCUGCAUGGCUGUCGU